This 132-nucleotide small RNA is filed under the name Salmonella enterica subsp. enterica. RNAcentral describes it as "RtT sRNA". It matches the Rfam family "RtT RNA". From Rfam's summary of the family: This family represents a bacterial cis-regulatory element known as RtT RNA. The exact function of RtT is unknown although it is thought that it may be involved in changing the cellular response in relation to amino acid starvation. The record is from RNAcentral. Lineage: Bacteria; Pseudomonadati; Pseudomonadota; Gammaproteobacteria; Enterobacterales; Enterobacteriaceae.
UAUCUCUCCGUACGGGGAAGGAUGAGAAGCUUCGACUAAGGUUCGAUUCGAGCGUCAGCGAGAAAGUGUUGCCGCAGGCAACGACCCGAAGGGCGAAGCGCGCAGCGCUGAGUCAUCCUUCCCCCACCACCA